Molecule: long non-coding RNA, 2189 nt
Organism: Anopheles arabiensis
Lineage: Eukaryota; Metazoa; Arthropoda; Insecta; Diptera; Culicidae
Exons: 4
Source: RefSeq, a predicted model, not a curated record
UCGACUUUUGCGAUCGACCUGGCGAGAUGGAUCAGCAAAGGAUCAGCGUGAUCCCUUCGGUCCUGAUUCGACCCGACUCCCAAGCCCGAUCAUCAUUGAGCCGACAAUAAUAGCUUAAGUAUGAUGUCAACCUAGAUACCGUUCUUGCCAGGUUCUUUCCCACUGUUUCCUAGCGAGCCUUGGUGACACCCGUUUCACAACAUCGCUUUAAAAAUACCGAAAUACCGCAGCGAGGAACGCACGAUCGAAACUCGACUCGAACAGACACAAACGAUCGAGCAAACGCGUUUGCCAGCACGAUCCAGCCUUGAUGCAGCUUCUAUUUGCACAACAAACGGCACAGCAUCUACAAGCACCAUUGAAAGAUGCCGCUUUCCAAUGACAGAUGUCAAAUGUCAGCAUAACAAUGUUAAAGUAAACAACAACAAAAUCAAAUCAUUCGCUAAAGCGACGUAGUGACCAUUGGCGGACAUCUUGAAAUAGAAACCUGAUGUAUCUUUAUUCGCUUCGUAUCCCACCAGCCCGUUCAGAAGGGAAGGGUUGAACAAGAUGUCUGUAGCUCGAAAAAGUACUCCCGUAAAAGUAAACAAACUUUCAGCCACAUCCCGAAGCGGCACCGCACAACAAAGUGUGAUGGAUAUUUCAAUUUCCCCUGCACCUUCCCUGCCGAGAAGAGAAGUGAGUUCACGGGCCAAACUCCUCGAAGCGCACAGAGAACUACUGCCCCGUUUGGCACUUGUGUCAGAAAACAGUGCGUUCACUGUUCCCGCGCCCCUGCCUUCGCUCGGAACGCACUGAAGUGCGAAACCAUUCCAACAACCCCUUUCGACGCUCACUCAAGUACAGCACUGGUGCUUCAAACUGUUGGCGGCAACAUUAGAAGGCUCAUCGCUAACCACCACGCAACCACGGAACAUCUUCAUUCGCUCGGACAUUAAUGGUGCUGGUUUAUAAUCGUAGCGUUUUAUCCCCGCAUCCAUGGCAAAAUGCAGUAAAUAUGAUAUGUGAUUGCUUGCUUUCCAAUGCCAUCGGAACCAACCCACUCGAUACUGAAUCCCACCCAGCGACAAGUGUGGAUUGAUUUAGAUUGAAAACUCAGCCCAAAUCGUUCGAUCGAUAAUUUUCACCCACUCCCAACGGAAAUAGUCCAGGUGCAGGAUUCGAUCGUUGUGUCUUUUAUGAUCCUCAACACCACCUUCGGCCGUGGCAGUAAACGUGAAUCAAAUAUUAUAAUCAAUCGCAAUGAAAAUGUUACGACGUGACUGAAAUGGAUCGACCCCAGCUCUACACGGGGUCGUCUACACGAUGACGGAUGUCAACUGACCGACCGGAUGCUGAUAAAGCUGUGGCGAUACUUUCUGUGCGAUAAACGACGACAGCAACACGCGACAUUAAUGGUGCUGGUUUAUAAUCGUAGCGUUUUAUCCCCGCAUCCAUGGCAAAAUGCAGUAAAUAUGAUAUGUGAUUGCUUGCUUUCCAAUGCCAUCGGAACCAACCCACUCGAUACUGAAUCCCACCCAGCGACAAGUGUGGAUUGAUUUAGAUUGAAAACUCAGCCCAAAUCGUUCGAUCGAUAAUUUUCACCCACUCCCAACGGAAAUAGUCCAGGUGCAGGAUUCGAUCGUUGUGUCUUUUAUGAUCCUCAACACCACCUUCGGCCGUGGCAGUAAACGUGAAUCAAAUAUUAUAAUCAAUCGCAAUGAAAAUGUUACGACGUGACUGAAAUGGAUCGACCCCAGCUCUACACGGGGUCGUCUACACGAUGACGGAUGUCAACUGACCGACCGGAUGCUGAUAAAGCUGUGGCGAUACUUUCUGUGCGAUAAACGACGACAGCAACACGCGGUGAGUGGGAUUUCGAUUUUUGGUACAAGGUUUUCUUUGAACGUAAUUCAUCGCCAAUCACGGCAACCUAACGGUAUUGAAGAUGGUGGUAAGACACGCACACAAGCGCACAGGAAUAGUAAUGAGACCGUGGGAAUGUUGAAAGUAUUUUUUUAAAGGAAUUAGAUUGAAUAAUUCUUAAACAUGGUCUCAAUCCGUUACGUCUCGUAGGAGGAAGGAAGUGUAAUCAAUGUAAAGGUCAGUCUCGUUGACAGUUAAUGAAGUGACAAAAUAGUUUAUGUGCAUAUGGAGUCUUUUAAGAGUGGCCACCCAGAAAGAAUUUCCACACCUACAACUAGUGUUCA